GUCGAACGCCGGCGGCGUGUCUAAGGCAUGCAAGUCGAACGUUCAAAGUUGGUGCUUGCACCGACUACGAAAGUGGCAAACGGGAGAGUAACGCAUUGGUAACUCACCUUGAACUCGUGAAUAACCCAUGGAAACGUGGGCUAAUACACGAUGUGGAUGGGGGGUCUUAUGACAUUCCCAUUGAAAGUUCCGACGGUUCAAGAGAGGCCUAUGUCCUAUUAGCUUGUUGGUGAGGUAAUAGCUCACCAAGGCAAUGACGGGUACCGGGCGUGAGAGCGUGACCCGGCUCACUGGGACUGAGACACUGCCCAGACUCCUACGGGAGGCUGCAGUCAAGAAUCUUCCGCAAUGCACGAAAGUGUGACGGAGCGACGCCGCGUGCCGGAUGAAGGCCUUCGGGUUGUAAACGGCUGUUCUGAGGGACAAAUUUGUGAUGGUACCUCAGCAGAAAGUGGUUGCUAACUCUGUGCCAGCAGCAGCGGUAAUACAGAGACCACGAGCGUUGACCGGAUUUAUUGGGCGUAAAGCGUGCGUAGGCGGUUUCGUAAGUCAUUCGUUAAAUCUUCAGGCUCAACCUGGAGGCAGCGGGUGAUACUGCGAAACUAGAGGACGGGAGAGGAAGGCGGAAUGCCCGGUGUAGGGGUAAAAUCCGUUAAGAUCGGGUAGAACACCAAAUGCGAAAGCAGCCUUCUGGRACGUUUCUGACGCUGUUGCACGAAAGCGUGGGUAGCGAAUGGGAUUAGAUACCCCAGUAGUCCACGCCGUAAACGAUGGAUGCUAGGUAUUGAGAGUAUCGACCCUCUCAGUGCCGUUGAACCAAGCUAACGCGUUAAGCAUCCCGCCUGGGGAGUACGGCCGCAAGGCUAAAACUCAAAGGAAUAGACGGGGACCCGCACAAGCGGUGGAUCAUGUGGUUUAAUUCGAUAGCACGCGAGAAACCUCACCUGGGCUCAACUACUAGCUGCAAACCUUCUGACAAGAAGGCUCCUUCGAGGGUGCUAGAUAGGUGCUGCAUGGUUGUCGUCAGCUCGUGUCGUGAGGUGUACCCUUAAAUGGAGCAACAAGGG
Molecule: ribosomal RNA, 1067 nt
Filed under: uncultured Parcubacteria group bacterium
Lineage: Bacteria
Description: bacterial SSU rRNA
Rfam family: Bacterial small subunit ribosomal RNA
Source: RNAcentral